Molecule: ribosomal RNA, 253 nt
Filed under: uncultured bacterium
Lineage: Bacteria
Description: partial 16S ribosomal RNA
Rfam family: Bacterial small subunit ribosomal RNA
Source: RNAcentral
UACAGAGGUCUCAAGCGUUGUUCGGAUUCAUUGGGCGUAAAGGGUGCGUAGGUGGCGCGCUAAGUCAGGUGUGAAAUCUCAGAGCUCAACUCUGAAAUGGCACUUGAUACUGCUCUGCUAGAGGACUGGAGAGGAGAUUGGAAUUCACGGUGUAGCAGUGAAAUGCGUAGAUAUCGUGAGGAAGACCGGUGGCGAAGGCGGAUCUCUGGACAGUUCCUGACGCUGAGGCGCGAAGGCCAGGGGAGCAAACGGG